GAAGUGAUUAUGCUGACAUGAGUAACGAUAAAAUAUGUGAAAAACAUAUUCGCCGAAAACCCGAGGUUUCCUGGGUAAAGGUAAUCUUCCCAGGGUUAGUCGGAUCCUAAGGUGAGGGUGAAAGCCGUAACCGAUGGAAAACAGGUUAAUAUUCCUGUACUUGUUGUGUAGCGCGAUGGAGGGACGCAGGAAGAUAGGCGGGCCGGGUGUUGGAUAUCCCGGUGCAAGCGUGUAGGAAUAUCCGGUAGGCAAAUCCGCCGGACGAAUCUGAGACGCGAGUCCGUGGGCGCAAGCCCUGAAGCCGUUGAGUCUAUGCUGCCUAGAAAAGCUCCUAAGUUUAUCCACAGCAAUCCGUACCGCAAACCAACUCAGGUGGGUGGGAUGAACAAUCCAAGGCGCUCGAGAGAACUCUGGCCAAGGAACUCGGCAAAAUAACCCCGUAACUUCGGAAGAAGGGGUGCUCUCUAGGGUGACAUGUUUAACAUAUGAAGCCCCGGGGAGCCGCAGUGAAUUGGUGGUGGCGACUGUUUACUAAAAACAUAGGUCUGUGCGAAGUCCUAAAGACGACGUAUACGGACUGACGCCUGCCCGGUGCUGGAAGGUUAAAAGGAGGGGUCAGCGCAAGCAAAGCUCCGAAUUGAAGCCCCAGUAAACGGCGGCCGUAACUAUAACGGUCCUAAGGUAGCGAAAUUCCUUGUCGGGUAAGUUCCGACCUGCACGAAUGGCGUAACGAUCUCCACACUGUCUCGGCCAGAGACUCGGUGAAAUUGCAGUCGCGGUGAAAAUUCCGUGUACCCGCAGAAAGACGGAAAGACCCUGUGCACCUUUACUAUAGCUUGACAUUGGAUUUUGGGCCUGCAUGUGUAGGAUAGGUGGGAGGCUGUGAACCCUGUACGCCAGUAUGGGGGGAGCCAUCCUUGAAAUACCACCCUUGCAUGUUUAAGAUCCUAACUUCUUCCGGUUAUCCCGGAGAAAGACAGUGUCUGGCGGGUAGUUUGACUGGGGCGGUCGCCUCCUAAAGUGUAACGGAGGCAUGCAAAGGUUCCCUCAGCCUGAUCGGAAACCAGGCGCUGAGUGCAAACGCAUAAGGGAGCUUGACUGUAAGAGAGACAUCUCGAACAGGAACGAAAGUUGGCGUUAGUGAUCCGGUGGUCCCGAAUGGAAGGGCCAUCGCUCAUUGGAUAAAAGGUACGCCGGGGAUAACAGGCUGAUCGCAUCCAAGAGUUCACAUCGACGAUGCGGUUUGGCACCUCGAUGUCGGCUCAUCACAUCCUGGGGCUGAAGCAGGUCCCAAGGGUACGGCUGUUCGCCGUUUAAAGUGGUACGCGAGCUGGGUUUAAAACGUCGUGAGACAGUUUGGUCCCUAUCUUCUGUGGGCGAAGGAGAAUUGAGAGGGCCUGUCCCUAGUACGAGAGGACCGGGAUGGACGCACCCCUGGUGAUCCUGUUGUCGCGCCAGCGGCAUAGCAGGGUAGCUAUGUGCGGAAGGGAUAACCGCUGAAAGCAUCUAAGCGGGAAGCCUGCCUCAAGAUAAGUUCUCCCCUCGAAAGAGCUGAAGGGCCCGGGUAGACUACCCGGUCGAUAGGCUGGAGGUGUAAGCGCGGCGACGUGCUCAGCUGACCAGUACUAAUAGCCCGAGCGGCUUAUUUUU
RNAcentral lists this ribosomal RNA (1650 nucleotides) under human gut metagenome. RNAcentral's name for it is "bacterial LSU rRNA". It matches the Rfam family "Bacterial large subunit ribosomal RNA", at positions 1285 to 2925 of the family's 2925-position model. The record is from RNAcentral.